Molecule: transfer RNA, 72 nt
Organism: Ascochyta rabiei
Lineage: Eukaryota; Fungi; Ascomycota; Dothideomycetes; Pleosporales; Didymellaceae
Rfam family: tRNA
About the family: Transfer RNA (tRNA) molecules are approximately 80 nucleotides in length. Their secondary structure includes four short double-helical elements and three loops (D, anti-codon, and T loops).
Source: Rfam
GCCUCCUUGGCCAAGUGGUAAGGCGUCGCACUUGUAAUGCGAAGAUCGCUCGUUCGAUUCGGGUAGGUGGCA